UUUUUUCCACCGGAGCUUGCUCCACCGGAAAAAGUGGAGUGGCUAUCGCUUGAGUAUCACGUGUGUAUCCUGUUCAUCAGAUGGUGAUAACACUUGGAAACAGGUGCUAAUACCGUAUAACAAUCGAAACCGCAUGGUUGUGAUUUGAAAGGCGCUUUCGGGUGUCGCUGAUGGAUGGACCCGCGGUGCAUUAGCUAGUUGGUGAGGUAACGGCUCACCAAGGCCACGAUGCAUAGCCGACCUGAGAGGGUGAUCGGCCACAUUGGGACUGAGACACGGCCCAAACUCCUACGGGAGGCAGCAGUAGGGAAUCUUCGGCAAUGGACGAAAGUCUGACCGAGCAACGCCGCGUGAGUGAAGAAGGUUUUCGGAUCGUAAAACUCUGUUGUUAGAGAAGAACAAGGAUGAGAGUAACUGUUCAUCCCUUGACGGUAUCUAACCAGAAAGCCACGGCUAACUACGUGCCAGCAGCCGCGGUAAUACGUAGGUGGCAAGCGUUGUCCGGAUUUAUUGGGCGUAAAGCGAGCGCAGGCGGUUUCUUAAGUCUGAUGUGAAAGCCCCCGGCUCAACCGGGGAGGGUCAUUGGAAACUGGGAGACUUGAGUGCAGAAGAGGAGAGUGGAAUUCCAUGUGUAGCGGUGAAAUGCGUAGAUAUAUGGAGGAACACCAGUGGCGAAGGCGGCUCUCUGGUCUGUAACUGACGCUGAGGCUCGAAAGCGUGGGGAGCAAACAGGAUUAGAUACCCUGGUAGUCCACGCCGUAAACGAUGAGUGCUAAGUGUUGGAGGGUUUCCGCCCUUCAGUGCUGCAGCUAACGCAUUAAGCACUCCGCCUGGAUCCCCCACC
RNAcentral lists this ribosomal RNA (844 nucleotides) under uncultured Enterococcus sp. Its description in RNAcentral is "bacterial SSU rRNA". It matches the Rfam family "Bacterial small subunit ribosomal RNA", at positions 71 to 873 of the family's 1533-position model. The record is from RNAcentral. Lineage: Bacteria; Bacillati; Bacillota; Bacilli; Lactobacillales; Enterococcaceae.